AGGACGAACGCUGGCGGCGUGCUUAACACAUGCAAGUCGAGCGGAAAGGCCCUUCGGGGUACUCGAGCGGCGAACGGGUGAGUAACACGUGAGCAACCUGCCCUUAGCUUCGGGAUAGCUCCGGGAAACCGGAAUUAAUACCGGAUAUGACUAUGGCCGACAUCAGCCAUGGUGGAAAGUUUUUCGGCUAGGGAUGGACUCGCGGCCUAUCAGCUAGUUGGUGAGGUAACGGCUCACCAAGGCGACGACGGGUAGCCGGCCUGAGAGGGCGACCGGCCACACUGGGACUGAGACACGGCCCAGACUCCUACGGGAGGCAGCAGUGGGGAAUUUUCCGCAAUGGAGGCAACUCUGACGGAGCAACGCCGCGUGCAGGAGGAAGGUUUUCGGAUCGUAAACUGCUUUUCUCGGGGACGAGCAAGGACGGUACCCGAGGAAGAAGCCCCGGCUAACGUACGCGCCAGCAGCCGC
RNAcentral lists this ribosomal RNA (471 nucleotides) under uncultured bacterium. Its description in RNAcentral is "SSU rRNA". It matches the Rfam family "Bacterial small subunit ribosomal RNA", at positions 26 to 518 of the family's 1533-position model. The record is from RNAcentral.